This 404-nucleotide ribosomal RNA is filed under the name Actinomycetes bacterium. Its description in RNAcentral is "Actinobacteria bacterium partial 16S ribosomal RNA". It matches the Rfam family "Bacterial small subunit ribosomal RNA", at positions 355 to 776 of the family's 1533-position model. The record is from RNAcentral. Lineage: Bacteria; Bacillati; Actinomycetota; Actinomycetes.
UGGGGAAUAUUGGACAAUGGGCGCAAGCCUGAUCCAGCCAUGCCGCGUGAGUGAUGAAGGCCCUAGGGUUGUAAAGCUCUUUCACCGGUGAAGAUAAUGACGGUAACCGGAGAAGAAGCCCCGGCUAACUUCGUGCCAGCAGCCGCGGUAAUACGAAGGGGGCUAGCGUUGUUCGGAUUUACUGGGCGUAAAGCGCACGUAGGCGGACUUUUAAGUCAGGGGUGAAAUCCCGGGGCUCAACCCCGGAACUGCCUUUGAUACUGGAAGUCUUGAGUAUGGUAGAGGUGAGUGGAAUUCCGAGUGUAGAGGUGAAAUUCGUAGAUAUUCGGAGGAACACCAGUGGCGAAGGCGACUUUCUGGUCUGUAACUGACGCUGAUGUGCGAAAGCGUGGGGAUCAAACAGG